UACGAAGGGGGCUAGCGUUGUUCGGAAUUACUGGGCGUAAAGGGUGCGUAGGCGGGUUUUUAAGUCAGGGGUGAAAUCCUGGAGCUCAACUCCAGAACUGCCUUUGAUACUGAAGAUCUUGAGUCCGGGAGAGGUGAGUGGAACUGCGAGUGUAGAGGUGAAAUUCGUAGAUAUUCGCAAGAACACCAGUGGCGAAGGCGGCUCACUGGCCCGAUACUGACGCUGAGGCACGAAAGCGUGGGGAGCAAACAGG
Molecule: ribosomal RNA, 253 nt
Filed under: uncultured bacterium
Lineage: Bacteria
Description: partial 16S ribosomal RNA
Rfam family: Bacterial small subunit ribosomal RNA
Source: RNAcentral